CUUUUUGAAUUAGUUCUGUGCUAAAAGGCUUGGCUUUGGCUUAACCAGAGGUUUUUAAAUGUCAGAGGCUCCUUAGGGCAGGUAGCUGUGGUGUGGGGUCUUUUGUUCCCUGUAACUCAUUUGGGGGCCUUGUUUUGGGAGCUGCAGCAGUGUCAGUAAAGGAAGAGACUGUGAGAAAGGCCUUGCUAUGGGCCGUGGUAGGAAACGGCCCAGGAGCACAGCAAAGGGGCUGGCCAAACUGACCUUAUCUGCUUGGUACAGGGUCCUUGUGCUGGCACCUAGAGUGGUGGCUGGGUUUGGGUUCCCUUACUGACCCACCUGGGAUGGUGGUGUGAAGACCCCAGAGGCAAAGGCUAGAGGGCCCCCAAAGCCAGAAAUGUGGGCUGAAGCUCUGGCAUAAUGUUGUCAGAGUAUUGGUGUGCAUUGGACUGCAUUUACCCAGAAAGAAGCAGACCACUGUGAGACAGAAGAGACUGUUGGCAGAGCCUGCCAAAGGAGAAGAUGCAGUUGUGCCAUGUCUAGCCAGGAGGAGAUGUGUCUGUGCUCUUGCAUCACUGACCAAUACCACACAGCUAUUGUUAGGCAAAUGAUUCUGCACUUACAUCAUCCAAGCACUCACUCUGAGGAAGUGCUAGUCACUGAUACAACAAAGCUGUGGAAAAAGAACUUGAGAUGUGUUUUGACUGCUGAAAAUAAGAGGGUGUGCAGGCAGGAGUCU
Molecule: long non-coding RNA, 718 nt
Organism: Dermochelys coriacea (leatherback sea turtle)
Lineage: Eukaryota; Metazoa; Chordata; Testudines; Dermochelyidae
Exons: 3
Source: RefSeq, a predicted model, not a curated record